CAUUGCCAUUAUGCCAACCUGUUAUACAAAGCAUAAUUUAAACCAUUGUUCUUACAUGAAAAAACUGGUUUCAAAAAUACCAUCUACUGAUAAGAUGGCAGAAGGAUACACACAAUUCUGCAAUCAUAAGGAGGAAAUGAAAGCUUUAUCUUCUUGUUUGAUAAACAGCGGUAUUGCAUUAGAUGUGUAUCACAGAUGUACAGUACCUUACACGCGUGAUAUGAAGGAUAAAGACAGCGACGUCUGCGAGACUAUAGACACAAACACUCGAUGUGUACUUACGCUGAUGAAGACUACUAACUGCAGUGAUAUCAUUGGUACAAACUAUGAACAAUCAAUGAAAUUACAGAAACAGAAUAAUCCAUUUUGCACCAAUGCAUCAGAUCAAAUGUGUAAUGUGUUGUAUCUUGUAAUCAUCAGUUUCGUGCUAAUCUGGAAUAAGAUGGCUUUGAAAAUAUGACAAUAAAUUACCUAAGUUUGAAGCAAA
Molecule: long non-coding RNA, 487 nt
Organism: Mytilus californianus (California mussel)
Lineage: Eukaryota; Metazoa; Mollusca; Bivalvia; Mytilida; Mytilidae
Exons: 3
Source: RefSeq, a predicted model, not a curated record